RNAcentral lists this unclassified non-coding RNA (166 nucleotides) under uncultured Rossbeevera. Its description in RNAcentral is "sequence contains ITS1". The record is from RNAcentral. Lineage: Eukaryota; Fungi; Basidiomycota; Agaricomycetes; Boletales; Boletaceae.
UUGAAUACACACAGGAUUGUUGCUGGCUAGAUUAAUUUCUAGCAUUGUGCACGUCCAUCAUCUUCAAUUACACACACACUUGUGAACCUAUUGUAGAUCGCAAGAUCUAUGUCUUUAUUCAUCACAUAUCCCAUCGUAUGUCUACAGAAUGAUUAUAAAUAUAAUA